Molecule: ribosomal RNA, 253 nt
Filed under: uncultured bacterium
Lineage: Bacteria
Description: partial 16S ribosomal RNA
Rfam family: Bacterial small subunit ribosomal RNA
Source: RNAcentral
UACGAAGGUGGCUAGCGUUGUUCGGAAUCACUGGGCGUAAAGCGCACGUAGGCGGAUUUGCCAGUCAGGGGUGAAAUCCCGGGGCUCAACCCCGGAACUGCCCUUGAUACAGCAAAUCUCGAGUCCGGAAGAGGUGAGUGGAAUUCCUAGUGUAGAGGUGAAAUUCGUAGAUAUUAGGAAGAACACCAGUGGCGAAGGCGGCUCACUGGUCCGGCACUGACGCUGAGGUGCGAAAGCGUGGGGAGCAAACAGG